GGGACGGGUGAGUAAUGUCUGGGAAACUGCCUGAUGGAGGGGGAUAACUACUGGAAACGGUAGCUAAUACCGCAUAACGUCGCAAGACCAAAGAGGGGGACCUUCGGGCCUCUUGCCAUCGGAUGUGCCCAGAUGGGAUUAGCUAGUAUGUGGGGUAACGGCUCACCUAGGCGACGAUCCCUAGCUGGUCUGAGAGGAUGACCAGCCACACUGGAACUGAGACACGGUCCAG
This 232-nucleotide ribosomal RNA is filed under the name uncultured Enterobacterales bacterium. RNAcentral describes it as "partial 16S ribosomal RNA". It matches the Rfam family "Bacterial small subunit ribosomal RNA", at positions 100 to 334 of the family's 1533-position model. The record is from RNAcentral. Lineage: Bacteria; Pseudomonadati; Pseudomonadota; Gammaproteobacteria; Enterobacterales.